RNAcentral lists this unclassified non-coding RNA (237 nucleotides) under fungal sp. Its description in RNAcentral is "partial internal transcribed spacer region". The stretch from base 1 to 46 matches the Rfam family "Eukaryotic small subunit ribosomal RNA", at positions 1786 to 1831 of the family's 1831-position model. Lineage: Eukaryota; Fungi. The record is from RNAcentral.
AAGUCGUAACAAGGUAACCGUAGGUGAACCUGCGGUUGGAUCAUUAAAAAAUUAGGGUAGCCCAACCAAAAAUUGGGCUCACUCCAACAUUUUGUGAACUGUUUAUUGUCUCUUGUGGGUUUGUAGUGACUGGCAACGGUCAUUGCUCCCACAAUUUUGAACCUAGUAUUAAUUCUUGCCUUUACUUGUAUUUUAUUAAAUUAAAAACAACUUUUGACAACGGAUCUCUAGGCUCUC